RNAcentral lists this ribosomal RNA (492 nucleotides) under uncultured bacterium. Its description in RNAcentral is "bacterial SSU rRNA". It matches the Rfam family "Bacterial small subunit ribosomal RNA", at positions 28 to 533 of the family's 1533-position model. The record is from RNAcentral.
GAUAAACGCUGGCGGCGUGCCUAAUACAUGCAAGUCGAACGCUUAAUAUCCAGCUUGCUGGAUAGAGAGAGUGGCGAACGGGUGAGUAAUACAUAAGCAACCUGCCUACAAGGACUGGGAUAACUUCUGGAAACGGAUGCUAAUACCGGAUAGGUAAUAGGAAGACAUCUUCUUAUUAUUAAAGGUUAAAAACACAAGUAGAUGGGCUUAUGGCGCAUUAGUUAGUUGGUGAGGUAACGGCCACCAAGACGAUGAUGCGUAGCCGGCCUGAGAGGGUGAACGGCCACACUGGGACUGAGACACGGCCCAGACUCCUACGGGAGGCAGCAGUUGGGAAUCUUCGGCAAUGGGCGCAAGCCUGACCGAGCAACGCCGCGUGAGUGAUGAAGGUUUUCGGAUUGUAAAGCUCUGUCUUCCGGGACGAUAAUGACGGUACCGGAGGAGGAAGCCACGGCUAACUACGUGCCAGCAGCCGCGGUAAGCACGAGAGUA